GUCCGGCUGAAGAGUGCCGAAUAGGACGAAAUGCGCAUCCUUGAU
Molecule: non-coding RNA, 45 nt
Filed under: Schistosoma margrebowiei
Lineage: Eukaryota; Metazoa; Platyhelminthes; Trematoda; Strigeidida; Schistosomatidae
Source: RNAcentral